Molecule: long non-coding RNA, 497 nt
Organism: Hippopotamus amphibius kiboko
Lineage: Eukaryota; Metazoa; Chordata; Mammalia; Artiodactyla; Hippopotamidae
Exons: 3
Source: RefSeq, a predicted model, not a curated record
GUGACGUGCGUGUCAAGCUUAGUCUGUGACAAGGGAAGAAUGGAGAUUGGAUUCUUUGCUGGGACCAGGUAACAUGAGAUUGUCUGACAAGGAGUUCCGUUAGCUCCGUGUUCACUGAAGCUUGCCACACCACCAGUAAUAGUAUGCACCUUGCCUCAGCGUCCUCGUGGAUGCCAGCUAGCCUGUGGCCCAGGUCUUCGGCAGCAGCAGCAGCUUUGGGCAGGAGCGCAGGUGUAGUGAUGACUGGCCUGGCUGACAGUGCUCAUGUUAAACCUGAGAGUGUCUGGGGCCGGGAGAAGGGAACAGGUGAGCCCAAGAACAGGCUGUGGGUGGCUUGUUAUUGCUCUUUGGUGCUUUCUCUCUACCUGCCCCAGAAUUCCAAGAAAAACUAUUCCCUGCUGUAGCCCCAGAAGCUUCAGCACUGCCAGAGAUACAGUGGGCACACAGCAGAUAGUUGUUGAAUUAAUAGUCAGAAAUAUCUUGCAAUUAGACCAUGA